This 305-nucleotide ribosomal RNA is filed under the name uncultured bacterium. RNAcentral's name for it is "bacterial SSU rRNA". It matches the Rfam family "Bacterial small subunit ribosomal RNA", at positions 334 to 655 of the family's 1533-position model. The record is from RNAcentral.
GUUCCCUACGGGAGGCAGCAGUGGGGAAUUUUGCGCAAUGGGGGGAACCCUGACGCAGCAACGCCGCGUGCGGGACGAAGGCCCUCGGGUUGUAAACCGCUUUCAGCAGGGAAGAUCCAAGACGGUACCUGCAGAAGAAGCUCCGGCUAACUACGUGCCAGCAGCCGCGGUAAUACGUAGGGGGUGAGCGUUAUCCGGAUUUACUGGGUGUAAAGGGAGCGUAGACGGCGUCGCAAGUCUGAAGUGAAAGCCCGUGGCUCAACCGCGGAACCGCUUUGGAAACUGCGAGGCUGGAGUGUUGGAGG